AAUGCCUCUGUCCCCAGGUGCCGUUCCCCCUGGCUUCUGAGAAUAUGGGAUAUAAACAUCCUGAAGGGCGAGCACGUGCUCCCGGCCAUGGCAUACACAGCCCUCAAGAUCCCAUAACAAGCGCCUGCUGAAGAUGCCCCGGGACCACCUCCGGGAGUUCCUGCAGGUGACCCUGAAGCAGGCCUGGUCUCUGAGCGAGGACGCGGUCAUCAGGCAGCUGCGGGCCUCCAUGCGUGAGCUGGGGAAGCUCCAGUGCCUCCUGCCUCCCGAAGCCAAGUCCAUCGAACAGUGCAGCAGGCCCCUGGGGCAGGCACGCGUCCCCCAGAUGCACGUUCCUGCCCCCACUGCUCCGAAGGCCAAAAUCACCAUUCAGGACACAGUGGCAGUGUGGGAGCAGACCAGGGGUCCCGCUACCCGUGCAGUGAUGAUCCGUCCUCCAGAAAGCUUUGGCCUCCGCAUCACCAAGAGGGAAGGCAUGGAGGAGGAGGAGAGCUGGGAAGGCAGCCCAGAGCCCCUCGGCCUGGGCUCCCCUGUGGGGACCGCAGAGUCUCUAGGUUCUGCCAGCCCCACGGAGUCUCCAAAGUGCUCGAGGUGGGGAGGCCUGUGCCAGUGCGCCAGUCUCCCUAACCUGAGCGGGCCAGAGCACAGGGAGGACGACUCCUCCGACGCUGGCAGCCGGGAGGGCCUGUGGAUGUGGGCUCCUCCACAGGCCUCGGAGCCCCCGGAACCAGGGCCCAUGCAGGCUGUCCCCGCCUGGGGGCCACAGCUGAAGACUCCCCCCUACUGGCAUGGCAGCCCCAUGCACUCUGGGGACAGUCACGGGCUGGAGCCGGCCAGAGCCAGCCCUGGGAUGGGAGACCAGGCCCGCGUGCCCUCCCUGGCCAGAGGCCUCCUUACCUCUUAUUCUGUGGGGCACCUGGAUGAUGGGUGCCUCCUAGAAGAGAGGCCGAGUCCAGCAUCUGUCCUGCCCAGGCUGGGCAGCAGCCUUCCGUGUGUCUUCACGGCAUCCUAUGCACUCGGUUGAGCCCCCACCGCCCAGGCUCUUCCUGGGGCCAGGACACCCUGACACUGGAAGACAACAGCCAUGCCAGGAGCCACUGUACUCUCCUCCCUGCCCCCUCCCCCACCGCCACCCUCAGGUGGUGCUGAGUCUGUAUUAAAUUGUUCCAUGGAAAGGAGUUUGCUCCAGUUUGUGACCCCGGUGCCCAGCGGCAGCAAGCUUCCCCGUGUUCCUGGAGAGCGUAGGCAGCUCCACAGCUCCCAGCCCCAGGCAGAGACCCGCUCAGGACCCUGCAGGCAAUGCCUGAGAUUCAGCUGUGCCCUGUGGGAACUGGGUCAGGGUGGGAGAGCAGCAGCUGUGAGUACCCGUGACCUCUGGGACAGAUCAGCACAAUAGGAACAGCCGUGGUUGGAGGGCCUGUGUCACCUCUGUGCUCUCCCCUAGACCUGGGCGGCCGUGGCUGCAGCAUCCCUGGCUUGACCCCACAUGUCUCUCACAGGUAUGGGAUACCUGUGUCACACUGUAUGUUCCAGGACCUCAGGAAGGAAUUAAAUUCCUGUGGUGUAUACGCUGGCCCGUUAUCAGUCUUUAUUUUCCAGGGGACACCGAGGACCAGCAGGGCUGACUUAACCGCCUUUAUCACAUUUCUAGCCUUUUCUCCGGAUUGGGCUGCUGCAAAUACAGCCUUUGAAUAAGUAUCUCCCACCACUUGGACAAACUUAAGUUGACCCAAGGAGUGAAUGUGGGUGAAGUCCACUUGCCAGAGCUUCUUAGGAGCAAGUCCUCGCGGGUUCACUCCUGCUUGUAGCAGUGGGGCUGACGGGGCGAGGGGGCACAAUUCUUGCAAGAGUGCACCAGGUGUUUGCAUUGGCUCAUUGUUAGCUCCGGGAAAAGUGAUUUUGUGUUGCUUUCUGCCAUAUGAAGUUUUUGGUGUAGAAUAGGGGCUUGUUCUAGGUGUCUGAUGGCAGCCAAGUUGCAGGAGAUAAGAUGAUCGACCUUUUCAUUGCCUUGGGAAACUCACAUAACAAGCAGCAAGUAUGACCUGCAAACCAGCGUAAGCACAGCAAUGGAGUUUUUUUUCUGAACUUGAGCCUUGAACCCCCUGGGCGGUUUAAAGGGCCCUGUGCCUCCAUCAGCACCAGCAGGUGGUAUCGGGAGAGAGGCAUCUCCCCAGACUGAGUUGUCCCGAGCCCUUCCAGCCCCUGAGGCUGCAGCCCUACAGGCCCACACGCCGGGUCACCAAGGGGCGGUGCUGCUCUGCCUAGACCCUCCAGAGAGCUCCCCCAGCCUCCGAUGCAGGAGCACAGUGUGUUGGCUCCAACAAGACGAGGGUGUCCAUGGAAACGCUAGCAGAAGCGAGCCCAAGACAGCUGCUUGUGCUCUUAUCUGGAACCCGGUGAGCAGCAAGAGGAGUAACUUAAUAUCGGGUUAUAACCAUGAAUAAAACCCCACAUGUGAGUGCA
Oryctolagus cuniculus (rabbit) is the source of this 2463-nucleotide long non-coding RNA. Lineage: Eukaryota; Metazoa; Chordata; Mammalia; Lagomorpha; Leporidae. The record is from Ensembl.